CGCAAAUUGCGCCCGCCAGUAUUCUGGCGGGCAUGCCUGUCUGAGCGUCAUUUCAACCCUCAAGUCUCCUUGGACUUGGUGUUGGGGCUCGGCCCGCCCCCUGUGGGAGGGCCGUCCCCUAAAUCUAGUGGCGGACCCGCUGUGGCCUCCUCUGCGUAGUAGUGAUACCCCGCGUGUGGAGUGCAGUGAGCCCCUGCCGUUAAACCCCCAACUUCUCCAGGUUGACCUCAGAUCAGGUAGGAAUACCCGCUGAACUUAA
RNAcentral lists this unclassified non-coding RNA (259 nucleotides) under Clonostachys sp. Its description in RNAcentral is "partial contains 5.8S ribosomal RNA, internal transcribed spacer 2, and large subunit ribosomal RNA". Lineage: Eukaryota; Fungi; Ascomycota; Sordariomycetes; Hypocreales; Bionectriaceae. The record is from RNAcentral.